Molecule: long non-coding RNA, 717 nt
Filed under: Solanum tuberosum (potato)
Lineage: Eukaryota; Viridiplantae; Streptophyta; Magnoliopsida; Solanales; Solanaceae
Description: long non-coding RNA (STUB_LNC000726)
Source: RNAcentral
UUUUAGGUUAGUUCCCGAAGGUUUAGGGUUUUAAACGGUUUGUUUAUAGUAUUUUUAUGGUUUUUUACGAUUUAUGGGUUAUUAGGGAUUACGAUAUUAGAUUUAGGGUUUUGAUGACUUUUUUUAGGUUUAGUGGCUUUUUUAGGAUUUAGGUUUUCUUACAGUUUAGAGUUUCUUAGUGUUAAGUGUUUCUUAGGGAUUAGUGUUUCUUAGAGUUCAGGAUUUAUUGUUUCAUAGGAUAUAGGGUUUCUUAGGGUAAAGGGUUUCUUAGGUUUAGGCUUUUAAAGGUUUUAUAAUCUGUUUAUCUUAUAUUCUUAUCUAAUAUGUUUAUGAUGUUCUAGCUUAGGAUUAGCUUAGGGUCACUCGUGAUCCUAGGUCUCGAGUUACGUCAAGGGGGCAGCCUCGGGGAAUGACAAAAAUCAAGUCUGAAUAAAAACUUAUAACUUACUAGAGAUGCUGGGAUAUGUCCCCAGCUAGCUCUAGCAAAACUAAAACUAAAAUGGAUGACUGAAUGUAAAACAAAUAAAUCGUUUUAGAAGUAUGACGACUCACCACUAUUAUUGAUGAAUACAGAUCGGGAAUUGAUCUACACGUGAUCUGAAUGCUGAGGACCUGAACCUACAUCACGAGAAGAUGUAGCGCAGAGUAUGCGUCAGCACUUGAAAGGUACUGAUCAUGCAUGAUAGGAUAAAGUUGAACAAUUAUAUAUAACCGAAC